Molecule: RNA transcript, 3171 nt
Organism: Crotalus tigris (Tiger rattlesnake)
Lineage: Eukaryota; Metazoa; Chordata; Lepidosauria; Squamata; Viperidae
Gene name: olfactory receptor 14A16-like
Exons: 4
Source: RefSeq, a predicted model, not a curated record
AUAGAUGACAGUUCUGUAUUUAUUUACUUAGGCUCAUGUGUUGUUCCAUCAAACCAACUCUGAUAUAGACAUCAAAGAGUAACCUUAGAGUACAAAUUCUGAAGAUGGUGUGUUAACAGUUAGAAAACCCAAACCUUUUCUGCUUUUUUGGCUUUAACUAUGGUCUAUUAGUGUGAGGGUACUUGGAGAAAUAAGAGAAAAUCUCUGGAUGUCAAGGGAAUGGCAUAAUGUCAUGUCUAACACUACAAGCAUACAUAAUUUUGUACUUGCUGGAUUUUCUGGAAAUCAAGAGGCUCAAAUUUUACACAGCACUAUCUUCUUAUUAAUGUAUCUCUUUGUCCUGGUGGGAAAUCUUCUGAUUAUUUUUUUGAUACUGUUCAAUUGUUAUCUGCAUACCCCAAUGUAUUUCUUUUUAAUCAAUUUAGCUAUUGGUGAUCUUGGUGUCACAUCUGCUAUUAUACCCAAAUCUAUAGUUAAUACCUUCAUGAAUUCUAAAUUGAUUUUGUAUUUUGAAUGUAUGACACAAUUAUUUUUCUAUGUUUCUUUCCUAUCAUCAAAUUUAUUCUUUCUUACUAUCAUGGCCUAUGACAGAUACAUUGCCAUUUGUCACCCAUUGCAUUUUGCAUCCAUAAUGAAGUGGUCCACUUGUUUCCAAAUGGCGGGAGGGGCCUGGGUGAUUGGAUUUCUGCAUGCAGCUCUACACACAGGGAAUAUUUUUUCUAUGCCUUUCUGUUCCAAUAUUAUUAAUCAGUUCUUCUGUGAAGUUCCACAAUUAAUCAAGCUAUUUUGUUCUGAUUCUUAUCUCGAUGAAACCUGGGUUCUUGUCUUUAGUUCAUGCUUAGGAGUUGGCUGCCUCUCAUUCAUUUUGUUAACCUAUGUGCAAAUCUUUACUACUGUGAUGAGCAUGCCCUCAGUUGAGAAAAAGGAAAAGGCCUUCUCCACUUGCAUCCCCCACCUUAUUGUGGUUUCCCUAUUCAUUGGUAGUAGCCUCUUGGCUCACCUGAUACUACCUGCUAAUUCUCCAUCGAGACUGGAUCAAGUAUUUACCACACUAUAUACUAUAGUGCCUUCACUCAUGAAUCCAAUAAUCUACAGCAUGAGGAACAAAGAUGUAAAAGCUGCCUUUCUGAAAUUGCUUGGCUGAAGAUUAUUUAGCAAACAAUAUUAAUUCCCCUUUGAUGCACCAAUUUGUCUGUCAUGUUAAUUUUGAAAUUCAGCAUAAGAUAACUGAUUAGGCAUUUCCCACUGAAUGUAUAUUUUGGUUUAUUUGAUAUAUUAUAAAUAAUGGUCUGCUGCAUCUGCCAAAGUAAAAUGUUUUACAAUAUUGAGCCUCUUAUGGCUUCAAUUCUGUUGGGAUUAUGAAGAUAUCUUUCAGUAAAUUAUUUUCAUUGGUUAUAGUUUUAUAGGUGACUUCCUAAAGUCAUUUUGGAAAAUGAAAUUGUAAUCAGGAACAAAUUAAUGUAACUAAAUAAUGUUUAAGGAAAAUGGGUUUUAAAUCAGACAUCUGAUUUUAACUUUUUAUGUUUUAACUAUAUAUGUAGCUGUAAACCUCCCAGAGUUACCCUAUGGUAAAAUGGGUGACCAAUAAAUGUUAUAAAUAAAUGUUAUGUAGGGCAAUCAAAAAAUAAUCAGUUACUUUAUGGGAUAGUUGUGUGCAAAAGAUACUUGAGACUAGUGAUGUGGAAAAAGGUUUCUGACUUAACUAAAGAUUGGCAAAGAUUUAUAUUUGUUUUAAGUAUAUGUAUAUAGUCAGAGAUAGCUACCAAUAUGUACAAGUUUCCUAAGUGAUUUCAGCUCUUGAUAUCAAAAUUGAGCUUUCUUCUUAUCACUUUUUUGCUAUUUUUUAUAGGUGAUUUGUGCCCUUCUAGAAAUAGUAACUUAGUUUUCCUAUCAGGGCAGCAGUUUCUGUGGCAUAUGAUGGGAUAUCAACAAGCAAGAAAUUGCCUUGCAAUGCAAGUUGUGGCUUGCAUCAUGACACCAUUUCUGCCAUAUUGCUUUUUUUUUUUAAACCUCUCCCUGUGAACAUGCUGAAUCAAGAUCAGAGGAUUCAGCAAAGGAACGAGUACUGUAUACCUCAGAGAGAAUAAGCAGUCUUGUUCUACUGAGUGACUAGAGGAUGGACGCAUCCCUAUAAGAAUCCAGUGACAAACAUAACAUUAAGAAAAGCACUUCAGAAUCUGAGUAUGGUCUUCCUGGCCCACAUCUGACACUUGAACAGCCCACCUUGCUGACUUGUAGAGCUUUGUCAUAUUCUUUGUGUUUAACUUUUAAUAGCUAUUGAUCAAUAUAGUCAUCUCAUACAUGUUUGAAACAAGAAGUAACACAGUAAAAGGGAUGGAAACUGAAGGACUGUGAGAAAAAGAGAAUAUGAAACAUCUUCAUUUAUUCUGAGAAAUCCAAGCUCUUAGAGAUACAAUGGUCAUUAAGAUGAAACUGCAGUAAAAAUGAAUCAUUUUGCAUCCAAAAUUGAAGGAAGCGCCUCAUAUGAUACAGAAGCUGGGAUUUAAAGAAGUUAAAGUAGUCUUGACAGAUACUGAAAACAUCAUGAUAUGAUGAUCAGAUUAAUAGAGUGUAAUUCUCACAAAAGAAAGGCAAAAUGCAAAAUUGAGAAAAUGAUAUUCUAGAAAACCUGUAACCAUAUAUUUAGUACAAUCGUAUUGAAAUUUUCUAUUUUGCUCAUCCAUUAAAAAAAGGAAAAUUUGCUUUCUCUUCUCAGUAAUUAUAAUAAUGUGCUCCUGGAUAUCUUAUUGAAAUAAGAAAUUCCUUACAUAGGAUCAUCAAUAAACAUUGAUCUGGGGUGUUCCUGGAAAGACAGAACCUUGAAAAAGGAGACAAACUGAGAAGAGAUCCCUCCAAUGACAAAGUCACCUGGCUGGUAAUAUUCAUGUGGAAUUUGGAGGGCAUCAAUUGUGUUGCAGAGAAUGGGAUGCAUCUUACAUUCACUUUGGGUUAAAAACACCAGCCAUAACAUCAGCAGACAUAGAAACAAAAAGAUCAUUGUAAAUAUAAAAAUGAAUCUGUUUCCUCCAAAGUAAAAUUCAAUGUCCCACUCUAUUUCAUUAAUAUCUAAUGUUAGUUUUCUUAUACCAAUCCGUUGUCAACAAUUUUUCAUUUUCCUACUUUCUAUCCAUGGAACAAAUACAAAAAUGAAAUGAAGUGUUGGUGUUUUUC